RNAcentral lists this ribosomal RNA (382 nucleotides) under uncultured bacterium. RNAcentral's name for it is "bacterial SSU rRNA". It matches the Rfam family "Bacterial small subunit ribosomal RNA", at positions 28 to 414 of the family's 1533-position model. The record is from RNAcentral.
GACGAACGCUGGCGGCGUGCUUAACACAUGCAGGUCGAGCGGUAAGGCCCUUUUGGGGGUACACGAGCGGCGAACGGGUGAGUAACACGUGGGUGACCUGCCCUCAGCUCUGGGAUAAGCCUGGGAAACUGGGUCUAAUACUGGAUAUGACCUUCCCUCGCAUGGGGUUGGGUGGAAAGUUUUUCGGCUGGGGAUGGGCCCGCGGCCUAUCAGCUUGUUGGUGGGGUGAUGGCCUACCAAGGCGACGACGGGUAGCCGGCCUGAGAGGGCGACCGGCCACACUGGGACUGAGACACGGCCCAGACUCCUACGGGAGGCAGCAGUGGGGAAUAUUGCGCAAUGGGCGGAAGCCUGACGCAGCGACGCCGCGUGGGGGUGACGC